This 184-nucleotide ribosomal RNA is filed under the name Geranium palmatum. Its description in RNAcentral is "16S ribosomal RNA". It matches the Rfam family "Bacterial small subunit ribosomal RNA", at positions 1 to 198 of the family's 1533-position model. The record is from RNAcentral. Lineage: Eukaryota; Viridiplantae; Streptophyta; Magnoliopsida; Geraniales; Geraniaceae.
UCUCAUGGAGAGUUUGAUCCUGGCUCAGGAUGAACACUGGCCGUAUGCUUAACACAUGCAAGUCAAACGGGGAGGGUGGUGUUUCCAGUGGCGAACGGGUGAGUAACGCGUAAGAACCUGCCGGGAACAACAGCUAGAAACGGCUGCUAAUACCCUGUAGGCUGAGGAGCAAGAGUAAGCAUCC